CAAUACAUACUUUGAUGCAGAGGAAUUUGCUAAUGAUGUCAGGUUGACUUUUUCAAUGGGAUACAUUACAAUCCUCUCGGGAGCUAUGCGAAGGAAUUGAAUGACGAUUUCAAGAGAUGGAAAUUACUAAAGACAAGAUUGAAGUGCACGGACAGAAAUCUCGAACGGUUAUUCAAUGUAGAUGACGUGAAAAGAUUGGCCAAUACACAAACCCAUUAUAAACAAGAAAGGCCAAAAUGCAAAACAAUCAUGUCUUAAUAAAGUUUUAUGGGCACAACAGGCCAGUUUUAUGGGCACAACAAGCCAGUUUUAAGUGGAAAAGCAAAAUUUGAGGAAAAGAGCUUCUAAAAAUAUCGAGCAGAAAGAUGGUUGAAACUUUAAGGUUUGUAUUUUAAAAGUUUUGUAUGGCCAAAUUGAGAGAAGAAAAACUCGAUUCUCAUAUUGACAUGAUCGACGACAAAACUUUUCCUAAGCUGGAAAGAAAAAGCAAUAAAGAUUUCUUUGGAUGAAAUAAAAGGAAAGGUGAUAAAUUCCGCAGACAAUUUGGUUGUAUGAAUUGGCAUGAUUCUUUCUUCUUUGAGAAAUUCUGCAAUUAUUUUGAAGCUGAAGAUUCCUUGUUAUUUAUAUGUCAACCAGCUGUGUCUUGAGCAACAUCUAUUAAUCAUCAAAAAAAAAAAAAAAAAAAAGGUAAAAAAAAAGAAAAAAAAAAUGAUUUCUNNNNNNNNNNNNNNNNNNNNNNNNNNNNNNNNNNNNNNNUUGGUGCUAAAACACCAGUUUAAUUUAUUUUAGUUUAGUUGGCAUUAAAGGAUAAGUACAAUUAAAGCUAUAUGAGAGAAUAUAUAAUCUAAUUAACUGGACUCAUCUGUUUUAAUGCCAUUGGUACCAAAUCGCAUUUCUACUCAAAUGAUAAUAAAAGCCCAGUAAGGUAAAAAUCGUACGAAAAGUUUCGAAGAUUCAUUGGAAGGAAAAAAAAUUUAACACAAAAAUAUGACAACACAGCAUAAUGUUAAAUCGAGGAUAUGCUUAGAUCACCUUCACGCCCCUGCCUUUCCAGUCUUCCCUUUUCUUUCUGCCCAUUGACAGGAUUAAUCUUCUCCUCCUGGACAAAAAUCAACAGAAUAGAGAUAUUAUUAAGUCCUCAAUAUGAAAAGAGCUCAAUCAACCUAGUAUUUAUGCUGAAAUUUCUGCAAGCCAUAAAAAUUCAUUACAUGAUCCAAGAGAGUCUCAUGUGUAGUUCUGAAGAUAGUAUCUAACAUUGCAGCACGCGAAGCACUGUUUCACAACACAUGAACAAGUGAAGUCCAUCCUAAAAUAAAUACAUAAGAUAAAUCAAGUCUUCAUAUUUCCAACGUUCAAUAGCUUGGAUCUUGGAAUUUGGUUGGAGGCAAAUUGACAUCAUUUUCUUACAUCUAGAACAUUGCAUACAUUUAUCUGUGUGCCCGUGGGAGUAAGAUAAGACUCAUAAUCAGAUUCAGAAAAAAUGAAAGAUUUCCAUCAAGCCUCCUGGGAAACAAGAUAUCUCUCAGCAUAGGGAGAUAAAAUGAGGGAACAAGGAGAACUCCCAUGAGCUCAAGCUCAUUCAAAUACCUACUUCAGUAGGUCUUAAUUGGAAACAUUUUCAUGUCCUAAUAAUCAUUGGCAGUGACGUGUCAAAGCUCAAACAAUAAAAAACCUAGCUACACAAUUACAAACAUAUAAUUAACAGCUUUUGCUCUCACCAUUAGAAUCCAGCUCUAAUCAUCUUGCAUGAGAUGCCACGGGAUCCUUAAGGAUCCCGAUGUAAAAGUACAGGGCGACAAUCAGCCAAAAGUUGCACAUUGAGUGUUUGGUGGGGAUUAAAUUAGAUUUCUAGUAGAUUGUAAUAAAAAAUUUUAAAAUGUGCGGUUGAAAAGUUGUGGGACCCAUGAAAGAUGUGGUUAAUAUUGAUUGUUUGACUUUAACUUAGAAUAAAAUCAGAUUUUAAUCCAAACCAAACAGACUCAUUGAGGGUGUUAGGUGGGAUUAAAAUUAGAUUUUUUUAGUAGAUUACGAUAGAAGUUUUUGAAAUGUGUAAUUGAAAAAUUGUGGAACCCAUGAAAAAUGUGGUUAAUAUUGAUUGUUUGACUUUGACUUAGAUUAAAAUUAGAUUUUAAUCCUAACCAAAUAGACUCAUUACAUUAAAUAAAAAUAUUUGGAGUAACAAGAACAGGCUGAAACUUCCAAAUAUAGAAUCACCGUAGUGAUCACGAUCA
Molecule: long non-coding RNA, 2231 nt
Filed under: Olea europaea (common olive)
Lineage: Eukaryota; Viridiplantae; Streptophyta; Magnoliopsida; Lamiales; Oleaceae
Description: long non-coding RNA (OEUR_LNC010262)
Source: RNAcentral